UACAACAGGAGCAAAGAAACUUCGACA
RNAcentral lists this non-coding RNA (27 nucleotides) under Mus musculus (house mouse). The record is from RNAcentral. Lineage: Eukaryota; Metazoa; Chordata; Mammalia; Rodentia; Muridae.